This 319-nucleotide long non-coding RNA is filed under the name Nicotiana benthamiana. RNAcentral describes it as "long non-coding RNA (NBEN_LNC009803)". The record is from RNAcentral. Lineage: Eukaryota; Viridiplantae; Streptophyta; Magnoliopsida; Solanales; Solanaceae.
UGAGCCCCGCCGGGAGCUAAGACCAGUUUUGAUCAUUAAGGCCAUUCAUUAUGGGAGAAUGGAUCCUCAAAGGACAGCUGCCGCCAUCCGCUUGGCCCGUGCCUCAAGAGGCGUAUCGUCAUCCACCGUUAGGGGAGCGUGUUAGAUAAUACGCUUAAUGCUAGAGGGGGGGGGGGGGAAUAGCGUAAUAAUAAAAUUUAGCGUAAACUUGCGGAAAUUAAAAUUUGUAGGAAAUAAAUAAGUGCGUUAAAUAAACAAAAAGGAAAGAACGCACCGAUAUAUUCUGGUUCACCACAACACGUGGCUAGUCCAGUCCCCN